RNAcentral lists this unclassified non-coding RNA (329 nucleotides) under Hevea brasiliensis (rubber tree). Lineage: Eukaryota; Viridiplantae; Streptophyta; Magnoliopsida; Malpighiales; Euphorbiaceae. The record is from RNAcentral.
UCUUGCAUUCUCCUGGAACCAGCUGCUUCUCUACGUGAUGCAUCCUGCUGCCGCCUUCUAAAGCUAGACAUCUGUUUCUCUUUGUCUUUCAGAAUAGAGCCACCUCUUGGCGUGUUUGAUUGUUUUUUACUAGUAUUGGAAUAGAAAUGCUCAACCUCAUUCAGUCUCUGCUCAAUCUGAUCAACCUUCCCAACCAUUUCAUCAACACUUCGACCGAAAUUUUCAGAAGCAGUAGCAUUGUCUUUCUGCUCUUGUAUAGGGAUGUCAGGAACUAAGCCGUUUAGAUUCUCCAUAGCUCGAAUUUCGCCGUUCGCCGGAGUAGAUCGGAG